This 447-nucleotide ribosomal RNA is filed under the name uncultured bacterium. RNAcentral describes it as "bacterial SSU rRNA". It matches the Rfam family "Bacterial small subunit ribosomal RNA", at positions 29 to 521 of the family's 1533-position model. The record is from RNAcentral.
AACGAACGCUGGCGGCAGGCCUAACACAUGCAAGUCGAACGCUCUAGCAAUAGAGAGUGGCAGACGGGUGAGUAACGCGUGGGAACCUACCUAGUGGUACGGAAUAGCUCAGGGAAACUUGGGGUAAUACCGUAUGCGCCCGAAAGGGGAAAGAUUUAUCGCCAUUAGAUGGGCCCGCGUAGGAUUAGCUAGUUGGUGAGGUAAUGGCUCACCAAGGCAACGAUCCUUAGCUGGUUUGAGAGAAUGACCAGCCACACUGGGACUGAGACACGGCCCAGACUCCUACGGGAGGCAGCAGUGGGGAAUCUUGGACAAUGGGCGCAAGCCUGAUCCAGCCAUGCCGCGUGAGUGACGAAGGCCUUAGGGUUGUAAAGCUCUUUUGGCGGGGACGAUAAUGACGGUACCCGCAGAAUAAGCCCCGGCUAACUUCGUGCCAGCAGCCGCGGU